Molecule: intron RNA, 330 nt
Organism: Planococcus sp. PAMC 21323
Lineage: Bacteria; Bacillati; Bacillota; Bacilli; Caryophanales; Caryophanaceae
Rfam family: Group I catalytic intron
About the family: Group I catalytic introns are large self-splicing ribozymes. They catalyse their own excision from mRNA, tRNA and rRNA precursors in a wide range of organisms.
Source: Rfam
CUAUUGAGAUAAUUGAUUUUAGGGCGUCUAACCGGGUAACGGGUUAGAGUAUAACUGGGUGAAUUGCUGGAACUUCCUAAAGCCCCAUCAACCACAACGUAACUGGAAACGGUCGGCGUGACGGUUUGAAAAUGAUGAGGAUACACCAAUGGAUAAUCAGCAGCCAAGCUCCUGUGAGGAAACUCUGGGGAAGGUUCAACGACUAGGAUAAACCGUCUAAGGCAAAAGCUAUGACGAUGAAAUCCGUAGGGUGGCAAGCGCCAUUCGAAGUGCCCAGCCCCUCAAAUGUGAGGGUGAAGAUAUAGUCUAUUCUAUGAUCGAAAGACAUAG